UGGAGCAAGAACAAGCAACAAUGGCGGUGGGAAUCUGAAGAACCACAAAGGCGUAGGCAUUUGAUCUUCAAGUAGGUUUUUCAACUCUAUGAAUUACUCAAGCCUGAGCAAGUAAAUAUUGGAAGGAAAAAUUAGGAUCGCUUUCACACUUUUCUGGGACUUCAUCAACAGAUACCAUUUUCUUUUGCAGCAAUUUAUAGGAAGAGUAGCUACCACUCAAAUCAUGCCUUGGGGCAGUAACAUGAAUCAAGCCUGUACAUUGAACAUGCAAAAUCCCAAAAGAGUAGCUGACAUGCAAAAUUUCACAAAAUCAGUAGCUGCUGGUCUAACGCUAGUGCCCUUCAGUGGCCUUCAUGAACAACAGUCAUAGAUUCGAGUCUGUGGCUACAGGGCCAGUUGCGCAAGGAGUUAUUUCAUCCGUGCCAGCUCAACCAAAGUCAUUUGAAUUAAGCAGGUAAGGGGCUAAUUAAAGCAAAAAGACAUGGUCAUCACUUAGUCUUAAAAUGAAAAAGAGAAGAAAGAAAAUGUGGUAGAUAAUUCCUAGUUGAUAAAUGGCCUGAAAACAUUAAAAGCGAUAUCUUCUGCAAUAUGUUCCACAUCUAUUAGACAUGUAUGAUCUCUAAAUAGUUUUAUUAAAUUAUUAAAUUAAUACAAACAUGAAUUUAGUCAAGUUGGCUAGAACAAUAUAUGUUGCACCUGAAUUCGAAUCCAUCUCCUGUAAUUUAUUUAAGUUUA
Molecule: long non-coding RNA, 735 nt
Organism: Pyrus x bretschneideri (Chinese white pear)
Lineage: Eukaryota; Viridiplantae; Streptophyta; Magnoliopsida; Rosales; Rosaceae
Exons: 2
Source: RefSeq, a predicted model, not a curated record